This 460-nucleotide ribosomal RNA is filed under the name uncultured bacterium. Its description in RNAcentral is "partial 16S ribosomal RNA". It matches the Rfam family "Bacterial small subunit ribosomal RNA", at positions 338 to 795 of the family's 1533-position model. The record is from RNAcentral.
CCUACGGGAGGCAGCAGUGAGGAAUAUUGGUCAAUGGACGAGAGUCUGAACCAGCCAAGUAGCGUGAAGGAUGACUGCCCUAUGGGUUGUAAACUUCUUUUAUAUGGGAAUAAAAUGUUCCACGUGUGGGAUUUUGUAUGUACCCUAUGAAUAAGGAUCGGCUAACUCCGUGCCAGCAGCCGCGGUAAUACGGAGGAUCCGAGCGUUAUCCGGAUUUAUUGGGUUUAAAGGGAGCGUAGGUGGAUUAUUAAGUCAGUUGUGAAAGUUUGCGGCUCAACCGUAAAAUUGCAGUUGAAACUGGCAGUCUUGAGUACAGUAGAGGUGGGCGGAAUUCGUGGUGUAGCGGUGAAAUGCUUAGAUAUCACGAAGAACUCCGAUUGCGAAGGCAGUUCACUGGACUGCAACUGACACUGAGGCUCGAAAGUGUGGGUAUCAAACAGGAUUAGAUACCCUUGUAGUC